This 5801-nucleotide long non-coding RNA is filed under the name Salvia miltiorrhiza (redroot sage). RNAcentral's name for it is "long non-coding RNA (SMIL_LNC007712)". The record is from RNAcentral. Lineage: Eukaryota; Viridiplantae; Streptophyta; Magnoliopsida; Lamiales; Lamiaceae.
UCAAGGGAUUUAAUCAUCACAAAACAGAACUAAACACUCUUUUAUGCUCUCCAUUUAUUUCCAACACACAAAGUCGAUUUUCUAACAAAUUUCUCAAUAUACACUCGACUUUAUACUUUUUUUUUUUCUUUUUCUUUUUUUUUUUUCUUUUUUCUUUCUUUUUUUUUCUUUUUUUUUCACAACUUUUCUAGAGCUUAUAAGAGUAAAUAGUAUCUCAAUAUCAUCCCUUCUUUUUCACAACCCACUAUGAAUAUUCACCACACGAAGAUCCCCAUAUACUUCAUCACCCCCUAUCAUCCGGCUAAAGAAUAAAAGCUAAAUAGGCUCAAAGUGGAUAACAAAGGAUAAUUUUUUUUUCAAGGAUAGUGUUUGGGAAAAAUUGUGGCUAACAAAAGAUGGCCUAAAAUCAUCUCAUAAUCCUGGGCACAACAGCAACCUCAACACAGAAACCAUGGCAAGUUCUAGAAGAUCACCACAUGCAUGACAAAACUCACAACAAAGAAUAAACUGUGUAUGAUAAACAGUUAUGGCUCAAAAUCUCACAGGUUUAUUCAACGUCUAAAAGUCAAGGUUAAAAUCACUCUAGAAUUAUGCAAAUUAGUUCCAAUUAUGCUUAAAUCAUCAAAGAAAAUCAAACUCCAAAUUUUUUUUCACAGAAAUCAUCAUUGGCAUCUCACCAGAAAUCUAAUGGAGCAAUAAUCAUCUCAAAAACAAAACAAACACACACCACCAACCAAGCAGGAUAAAACAAUAAAGCCAACAAAAAGAUAAAAGUGAUACACAUAUCUACUCUCACCCCCCUCCCCCAAACUUAUUACAGAACAUAAGUUCGAAAAUAAGUUUGGAGGGAUGAUGAUAUGUGUGUCACUACUCACAGAAACACAUGCUCCACGGUGGUGAUAUGAACAAGGCGCGAGUUCCCGCAUCUUCCAAGCUCAACACUGCACUAAAACCCCAAAACAAAGAAACAAAGAAACAAAAGAAAACAAAAAGAAACUAAACGAAAGGAAAACAAAACAAAGAAAAACGGUUGGGUUACCUCCCAACAAGUGCUUAAUUUAACGUCUAGAGCUCGACGAUACCUCAAAAACUCAUGGAGGUCGGAAACAACACUCUAACCAUUGGAAAGCUUUUCUACUCUUGGGUGCUCUCUCCACCAAAACACUUCUCUUGGCUCGGACAUCCUCCACAAGCAUUGCCCCCUUCUCAUUCUUGUUCCGAAAAAUCUGGAAUUUCACUUUCUUCUUCUUGGGGGUAUGGGUUUUCAAAGACCCCCCAUCAUGCUCCAAAAACAAACACAUCUCAAAAGUCAGAACUUCUUUUGGUUUUGGAGUUUUUUUCUUGGCUUCAUACUUGGGCAGCUCAUUCUUCUCAACCUCUUCAUCCUCCGAAUUUGCUAGAAACUGUCAGCCAAAUUUAUCACUUCAUUCUGGGGAACUUCCUUUGGUGGAGGUUUCUGAAAUCACAGUUUCCCCAUAGGCUCCCAAUGUCAUCGUCCCCCUUUGUAUAUCUAGCUUUGCUUCCACAAGUGGCAAGGAAAGGUCUCCCUAACAGCAAAGGCAUCUUGGAUCCUCCGGAUAUCCAACACUACAAGUCGACUGGGAAGAAAAAUCACUCACCUUCACAAGCACAUNCUUUCUUCUUCUUGGGAGUAUGGGUUUUCAAAGACCCCCAUCAUGCUCCCAAAACAAACACAUCUCAAACGUCAGAACUUCUUUUGGUUGUGGAGUCUUUUUCUUGGCUUCAUACUUGGGCAGCUCAUUCUUCUCAACCUCUUCAUCCUCCGAAUUUGCUAGAAAACUGUCAGCCAAAUUAACCACUUCAUUCUGGGGAACUUCCUUUGGUGGAGGUUUCUUGAAAAUCAUAGUUUCCCAUAGGCUCCCAAAGUCAUCGUCCCCCUUUGCAUAUCUAGCUUUGCUCCACAUGUGGCAAGGAAAGGUCUCCCUAACAGCAAAGGCAUCUUUGGAUCCUCCGGAAUAUCCAACACUACAAAGUCGACUGGGAAGAAAAAAUCACUCACCUUCACAAGCACAUCUUCCGCAACUCCUAGAGGUUUAGAGCAAGACUUAUCAAUAAGCUGAAUUGUCUUGUUAGUUGGCUUCAAAUCCCCCAGCUGCAACUUCCUAUACACUUUGAGAGGCAUGACAUUUAUGCUUGCUCCGGUGUCACACAUCACUUUCUCAAACAGUGACUUUCCAAUCUUCACAGGAAUAUUGAAACUGCCUGGAUCUUCUCUCUUUGGAGCCAACUGAUACUCCUUCACUGCGAGCACCUCCUCAAAUUCAUUGAAUGCUCUCUUCUUUUCCAUCACAGCCUUCACAAUUUGUACCUCAUUUGGCUUGUUUCUCAAGAUCUCCACGGAAGGAAUAUUCACAGCCAACUUCUUAAAUGUCUCCAAAAACUUCUCAUCCAUCUUCGGCUUUGCCAGGCUAUUCGGAAGGGUGCUACAGGCUUGUACUCUGGACCUGGGAACGUAGGAGUAGGAAUAGGCCCUUUAACAGCAGAAGAGCUCGAAUCCUUCUUAGGGGAGGCGUCUGUUUCGCUGCAAGCUCCUCCAAUCAUCAUCGUCUUCCUCCACUACUUUGCCUUUCCCUUGUCAUUCUGCUGCUCUUCAUCCUCAACUGAAUUAUCAACCACCCGGAUGGAAUGACAUUGCUGAUUUUGCUGAGGUUGUUGAUGUUGGCCCUUCGGAUUGAACUGAGUGUUGCUAGGAAAUUGGCCCGGCUUGUGCUGUGCAGCUGCUUGGUUAGCCAUCUGACCAACUUGAUUCUCUAACAUCUGUACCUGCUUAGAAAGUGCUGAGAAGUUAUUCUCCAUGUUAGAGAUUUUAUUUCCAACAUUCACCUCCAUUCCAGUCAUCUUUGUGAGCAUCUGCUUCAUCAUGUCCUCCAUCGAAUCCUUCUUUGGCUCAUUGAUGACUCCUCCAUUAGAAACAGAAAAUCCAGGUGGAGGCUGCAAAGCAUUGUUCGGAUUGCCGUAAGAAAGAUUCGGAUGCGGACGUGCUCCUGGCUGAAACUGCUGCUGACCCUGCUGAUAUGGCUGACCUCUGUUAUACAUCCCUGGCUGUCCUUGCUGAAAAUUCCCAUAAUUUCUGUCAUUGAUAUAAUUGACGUUUCCCAAGCCUGAUGGGUCUAUCACAGCUUGCUCAUGACGUCCAGCAUUCAAUUCACCAAUUUUUGCAGUCAGCUCUGCCAGCUGUGUAGCCAUCGCUGCUUGUUGAGUAACCAUAGCUGCCAUAGGAUCAGAAGUGGACGCAGCUGCAACCUUCUUCAAUUGCAUACGCUCAGAUGGCCAUUGGUAGCUCGUAGAAGCCAUACUAUCAAUAAUGCUCCAUGCAUCAGAGCUGCUUUUCUGGAGUAGAGAGCCACCUGCAGCUGUAUCCAUAUGCAUCCUUGUACGCUCCCCGCAGGCAUUGUAGAACAUGAUCACUAGCGUACCUUCAUCAAAACCAUGACUUGGGCACCUUCUGAGCUUCUCCUGGUAUCGCUCCCACGUCUCCGCUAGCUUCUCUCCCUCGAACUGUUGAAACUGCACGAUGUCCAUCUUCAAUUUCAACGUAAGGCCAGGCGGAUGAAAUUUUCGCAGGAACGCAUGAGCUAAAUCCUCCCACACGAUAUUAUCUCCCAGCUGCAGCGUAUGAUACCACGACUUCGCCUUAUCCCGCAGUGAGAAGGGAAAAAGACGAAGACGGAUAAUGUCAUCAGGGACACCAUUCAUCUUCACCGUGCUACACAGCUCCAGGAAAUGCGCCAGGUGCGCAUUAGGAUCUUCGAUCGCUUGUCCACCAUAUUGGCUCUGUUGGACCAUUGUGAUCAAUCCCGUUUUCAGCUCAAAGUUGUUGACCUUUAGUGGUGGGGGCUCCUGGUACACAUACUGUGGAAUGAACGCUUCAUUUAUGGCUGGUUGUUUCUGAGCCUCUCUCGUCUCCUGUGCAUCAAGCAGCUUCUUCAACUGCUCUUGUAGAGCUCGAAUUUGGAUUUGCUCUGGAGUGUCCAUUGUAUCUGUCUCAACUUGAUCGUUCUGCUUCUUUAGAUUGCGCAAGGUCUUGUUGAUUUCAGGGUUUAACUCAAAGAGAGGAGUCCCGUGAGAUCGUGUGUUCAUAUGCAACCUACUGAAACAGCAAAAAGAUCAGAAAAUAAAAAUAAAAACAAAUAAAAACUUGCAGUACUAUUAAGUCCUAUUGGAAAUAUUAAAGCAAAAUCUAAACAGUCCCCGGCAACGGCGCCAAAAAGUUGAUCCGGGGUCAAGGUAAAAUACAGUGUUUGAAACCCAGAAGAACUCCAAAAACGCGCAAAACUGAAAAAUCCGGGUAGCCGGCGACCUGCCCGGCGACCCAUCCGGCGGUCGCCGGCCCAAGCACAAAAAUCCUUCAUCUGGCGGCGAUCGCCGCGUCUUUUCCAACGUUCCAGAAGAUCCGGCGACCCAGGCGGCGGUCGCCGGUCAGGUCGCCGGAAAUCCUUCUUCGGGCGGUGGUCAACGGUGUUUGACCGCCGGAUUCUAACUGCUGCGCGCGAUGUUUUCGUUUCGGCCAUAACUUUCUCGUCCGAACUCGGAUUUUCGAUCCGUUUGCGCUCACGAACUCGUAUCGAGACGAUCUACAACUUGUAUUUCAGCACAGUUUUCCAAAUUCGAACUCAAUAAACCUGAAAUUUCCUUCAAAGUUCGAGUAAGAAUCAUGUUUCAAAAGAUAAAGCAAAUUAAGCACAAAACAAUCAUCCAACACUUAGUUUCCUAUAAAAUUGACAUCAUAUGAACACUAAAACCAUGGAAACAUGAGUGUUAUCAACUCCCCCAAACUUAAGCCAUUGUUCGUCCUCGAAUAAUGGGAAGAAUAAAAUACAAUAACACGAAUGGGUAAGAAAUACUAGCUCAUCGAUGCCUCCGAAUAAUAAAGGAUAAUAGAAUUCUCAAAUCCUCAAUAAUUAAGCACAAAAUUCACCAAUAAACACAACUUAUAGAAAAAUCAACCUUGACAUUCCAAACAAUUGAAUCUCACAAGGUAUGUGUAUCACUCAACUCUCAAUUUGAUGGAAUAUAUAGGACGUGUAUGCUCUCAUCGAAUUCAAUGCAAUGCAGAUCUCUUACCAUAGGCUUGCCAAUCGUCUACAAUCUCCAUCGCUAAAAGUAUGCCAGGACUAAGAUCAAAUAGGUCUUUAUUUUUGGGUUAUAAUGUAGGGACAUUGGUUAAGGUAGGGAAAUAUAGGCUAAGUGACUCAAAAUAAUUAAGAACACCAACCUUAUAACUUCACAAAUCUAGUAUGGAAUAAAUUCCAUCUUCCUCCCAACUAUAUCAUCAUAAUCAACAAAACUCAAGGGAUUUAAUCAUCACAAAACAGAACUAAACACUCUUUUAUGCUCUCCAUUUAUUUCCAACAAACAAAGUCGAUUUUCUAACAAAUUUCUCUAUAUACACUCGACUUCACACUUUUUUUCUUUUUCUUUUUCUUUUUCUUUUUUUUUUCUUCUCUUUUUUUUUUUUUACUUCUUUUUUUUUCUUUUCUUUCCACAACUUUUCUAGAGCUUAUAAGAGUAAAUAGUAUCAUAAUAUCAUCCCUUCUUUUUCAUGAACCACUAUGAUAUUCACCACAUAAGGAUCCCCAUAUACUACAUCACCCCCUAUCAUCCGGCUAAAGAAUAAAAGCUAAUUAGGCUCAAAGUGGAUAACAAAGGAUAAUUUUUCAAGGACAGUGUUUGGGAAAAUAAUGUGGCUAACAAAAGAUAGCCUAAAAUCAUCUCCUAAUCCUGGGCACAACAGCAACCUCGACACAGAAACCAUGGCAAGUUCUAGAAGAUCACCACAU